Molecule: ribosomal RNA, 255 nt
Filed under: uncultured bacterium
Lineage: Bacteria
Description: partial 16S ribosomal RNA
Rfam family: Bacterial small subunit ribosomal RNA
Source: RNAcentral
UACGUAGGGUGCGAGCGUUGUCCGGAAUUAUUGGGCGUAAAGAGCUUGUAGGCGGUUUGUCGCGUCUGCUGUGAAAAUCCGGGGCUCAACCCCGGACUUGCAGUGGGUACGGGCAGACUAGAGUGUGGUAGGGGAGACUGGAAUUCCUGGUGUAGCGGUGAAAUGCGCAGAUAUCAGGAGGAACACCGAUGGCGAGCAGGCAGUCUCGGUCGGCACUACUGACGCUGAGAAGCGAAAGCAUGGGGAGCGAACAGG